This 497-nucleotide ribosomal RNA is filed under the name uncultured Pedobacter sp. RNAcentral describes it as "partial 16S ribosomal RNA". Lineage: Bacteria; Pseudomonadati; Bacteroidota; Sphingobacteriia; Sphingobacteriales; Sphingobacteriaceae. The record is from RNAcentral.
CACGGAGUUAGCCGAUCCUUAUUCCUUCGGUACAUUCAGCUCGCUACACGUAACGAGGUUUAUUCCCGAAUAAAAGCAGUUUACGACCCAGAGGGCUGUCUUCCUGCACGCGGCAUGGCUGGUUCAGAGUUGCCUCCAUUGACCAAUAUUCCUUACUGCUGCCUCCCGUAGGAGUCUGGUCCGUGUCUCAGUACCAGUGUGGGGGGUUCAUCCUCUCAGAUCCCCUAGACAUCGUGGUCUUGGUGGGCCGUUACCCCGCCAACUAACUAAUGUCACGCAUGCCCAUCUUGAUCCUAUAAACUAUUUGAACAUUGUACAAUGCUGUACUGUGUUUUUAUGCGGUGUUAAUCCGAAUUUCUUCGGGCUAUCCCCCUGAUCAAGGUAGGUUGCAUACGCGUUACGCACCCGUGCGCCACUUUUCGUUAUCAGCAAGCUGAUAACUAUCGUUCGACUUGCAUGUAUUAGGCCUGCCGCUAGCGUUCAUCCUGAGCCAGGAU